UACGUAGGGGGCAAGCGUUGUCCGGAUUUAUUGGGCGUAAAGAGCGUGUAGGCGGCCAGGUAGGUCAGCUGUGAAAACUCGAGGCUCAACCUCGAGACGCCGGUUGAAACCAUCUGGCUAGAGUCCGGAAGAGGAGAGUGGAAUUCCUGGUGUAGCGGUGAAAUGCGUAGAUAUCAGGAGGAACACCGAUGGCGAAGGCAGGUCUCUGGGCUGACACUGACGCUCAUGCACGAAAGCGUGGGGAGCAAACAGG
Molecule: ribosomal RNA, 253 nt
Filed under: uncultured bacterium
Lineage: Bacteria
Description: partial 16S ribosomal RNA
Rfam family: Bacterial small subunit ribosomal RNA
Source: RNAcentral